This 71-nucleotide transfer RNA is filed under the name Marmota monax (woodchuck). RNAcentral's name for it is "tRNA.Val". Lineage: Eukaryota; Metazoa; Chordata; Mammalia; Rodentia; Sciuridae. The record is from RNAcentral.
GGGGUUGUGGCUCAGUGAUGGAGCACUUGCCUCACACAUAUGAGGCACUGGGUUCAAUCCUCAGCACCACA